GGCGAGCCAGCGGCUCCGGCUCCCGCUCCCGCUCCGCGCAGCACCAGCCCGACUCUCCCCGGCCCCCGCCGCGCCCCCUCGCCGCGACCUCGGCCACCGGCCCGCGCCCCGCGCCCGGGGUCGCCCCGAGCCCGCACCUCUCCCCCGCCGCCCCCGCCCACCCGGCCCUCCGCGGCCGCAGCUCCCCGGCGGAGGCAAGAGGUGGUUGGGGGGGACCAUGGCUGACGUUUUCCCGGGCAACGACUCCACGGCGUCUCAGGACGUGGCCAACCGCUUCGCCCGCAAAGGGGCGCUGAGGCAGAAGAACGUGCACGAGGUGAAGGACCACAAAUUCAUCGCGCGCUUCUUCAAGCAGCCCACCUUCUGCAGCCACUGCACCGACUUCAUCUGGGGGUUUGGGAAACAAGGCUUCCAGUGCCAAGUUUGCUGUUUUGUGGUCCACAAGAGGUGCCAUGAAUUUGUUACUUUUUCUUGUCCGGGUGCGGAUAAGGGACCCGACACUGAUGUAAGUAGUCCUGAAAUCAUGAUUUGAUGUCAAUGUGGAUUUCUGAGCUUUAAUUUUUUUAACGCCUGUGCAACUGUUAGUUUUGGCACUUACUGUUAAUGGGAAGACUCAAUUCUCAUAGAGCGUUGGCUUGUAGUAAUGAGCAGAUUUAUAGCCCAUAUGAGCUCUGGACUACAUCUUAGAGAAUUUCUCAGAGGAGAAUUUCUUGGUAGCAUGUACUGUUCCACUUUGGGCAGCUGCAUUGACUAAAUCCACCAAAUUUAUUGUAAUAGCUUUCACAAACACAAUGCAGUUGUUGACAGAUUUUACAAUGAACAUUUAUCACCCUUCAGUUUAUUUCCGU
RNAcentral lists this long non-coding RNA (848 nucleotides) under Homo sapiens (human). RNAcentral's name for it is "long non-coding RNA NONHSAT175498.1". Lineage: Eukaryota; Metazoa; Chordata; Mammalia; Primates; Hominidae. The record is from RNAcentral.